Molecule: non-coding RNA, 93 nt
Organism: Mycena galericulata
Lineage: Eukaryota; Fungi; Basidiomycota; Agaricomycetes; Agaricales; Mycenaceae
Source: the annotation of a GenBank genome assembly
GGCCCAGUAGUGUACUGGUAACACAUCCUCUUUCCUUGUGACAGCUACGAAGAAGUUUGGAGGAAGCACCCCGUUCGAUUCGGGGCUGGGCCA